RNAcentral lists this transfer RNA (69 nucleotides) under Encyrtus aurantii. RNAcentral's name for it is "tRNA-Tyr". The record is from RNAcentral. Lineage: Eukaryota; Metazoa; Arthropoda; Insecta; Hymenoptera; Encyrtidae.
AGUAUUAUGUCUGAUUAAAGUAAUAAAUUGUAAAUUUAUGUAAAAAUUUUUUAAAAAAUUUUAAUACUA